RNAcentral lists this ribosomal RNA (253 nucleotides) under uncultured bacterium. Its description in RNAcentral is "partial 16S ribosomal RNA". It matches the Rfam family "Bacterial small subunit ribosomal RNA", at positions 524 to 776 of the family's 1533-position model. The record is from RNAcentral.
UACGGAGGGUGCAAGCGUUAUCCGGAUUCACUGGGUUUAAAGGGUGCGUAGGAGGGCAGGUAAGUCAGUGGUGAAAUCUCCGAGCUUAACUUGGAAACUGACGUUGAUACUAUCUGUCUUGAAUAUUGUGGAGGUGAGCGGAAUAUGUCAUGUAGCGGUGAAAUGCUUAGAUAUGACAUAGAACACCAAUUGCGAAGGCAGCUCGCUACACAUAUAUUGACUCUGAGGCACGAAAGCGUGGGGAUCAAACAGG